This 396-nucleotide ribosomal RNA is filed under the name uncultured bacterium. Its description in RNAcentral is "partial 16S ribosomal RNA". It matches the Rfam family "Bacterial small subunit ribosomal RNA", at positions 523 to 918 of the family's 1533-position model. The record is from RNAcentral.
AUACGUAGGUGGCAAGCGUUGUCCGGAAUUAUUGGGCGUAAAGCGCAUGUAGGCGGUUUGGUAAGUCGGUCGUGAAAAUGCGGUGCUUAACGCCGUAUGGCGAUUGAAACUGCUGAACUUGAGUGCAGGAGAGGAAAGGGGAACUCCCAGUGUAGCGGUGAAAUGCGUAGGUAUUGGGAAGAACACCGGUGGCGAGGGCGCGUUGCGGGACGGUGGCGGACGCUCGGAGGCGAAAGCCGGGGGAGCGAGGGGGAUUGGAUACCCCGGUAGUCCACGCCGUAAACGAUGAAUACUAGGUGUAGGGGGUAUCGACUCCCUCUGUGCCGCAGUUAACACAAUAAGUAUUCCGCCUGGGGAGUGCGGCCGCAAGGUUGAAACUCAAAUGAAUUGACGGGG